UGCUUUCUUCGGAAUGUUACCUAGUGGCGGACGGGUGCGUAACACGUGGGAAUCUACCUUAUAGUGGGGAAUAACUUCUGGAAACGGGAGCUAAUACCCCAUACGCCCUUCGGGGGAAAGAUUUAUCGCUAUAAGAUGAGCCCGCGGUGGAUUAGGUAGUUGGUGAGGUAAAGGCUCACCAAGCCGAUGAUCCAUAGCUGGUUUGAGAGAAUGACCAGCCACACUGGGACUGAGACACGGCCCAGACUCC
This 250-nucleotide ribosomal RNA is filed under the name uncultured bacterium. Its description in RNAcentral is "partial 16S ribosomal RNA". It matches the Rfam family "Bacterial small subunit ribosomal RNA", at positions 72 to 339 of the family's 1533-position model. The record is from RNAcentral.